GACGAACGCUGGCGGCGUGCUUAACACAUGCAAGUCGAACGGAAAGGCCCCCUUGUGGGGUACUCGAGUGGCGAACGGGUGAGUAACACGUGAGUAACCUACCCUUGACUUUGGGAUAACUUCAGGAAACUGGGGCUAAUACCGGAUAGGAGCUCCUGCUGCAUGGUGGGGGUUGGAAAGUUUCGGCGGUUGGGGAUGGACUCGCGGCUUAUCAGCUUGUUGGUGGGGUAGUGGCUCACCAAGGCUUUGACGGGUAGCCGGCCUGAGAGGGUGACCGGCCACAUUGGGACUGAGAUACGGCCCAGACUCCUACGGGAGGCAGCAGUGGGGAAUAUUGCACAAUGGGCGGAAGCCUGAUGCAGCAACGCCGCGUGCGGGAUGUCGGCCUUCGGGUUGUAAACCGCUUUCGCCUGUGACGAAGCGUGAGUGACGGUAAUGGGGAAAGAAGCACCGGCUAACUACGU
RNAcentral lists this ribosomal RNA (464 nucleotides) under uncultured bacterium. RNAcentral's name for it is "partial 16S ribosomal RNA". It matches the Rfam family "Bacterial small subunit ribosomal RNA", at positions 28 to 506 of the family's 1533-position model. The record is from RNAcentral.